GUCCCCUUAGCUCAGCCGGUAGAGCACGCGACUGUUAAUCGUGGGGUCGGAGGUUCGAGUCCUCCAGGGGACG
Molecule: transfer RNA, 73 nt
Filed under: Nanobdellota archaeon
Lineage: Archaea; Nanobdellati; Nanobdellota
Description: tRNA-Asn
Rfam family: tRNA
About the family: Transfer RNA (tRNA) molecules are approximately 80 nucleotides in length. Their secondary structure includes four short double-helical elements and three loops (D, anti-codon, and T loops). Further hydrogen bonds mediate the characteristic L-shaped molecular structure. tRNAs have two regions of fundamental functional importance: the anti-codon, which is responsible for specific mRNA codon recognition, and the 3' end, to which the tRNAs corresponding amino acid is attached (by aminoacyl-tRNA synthetases). tRNAs cope with the degeneracy of the genetic code in two manners: having more than one tRNA (with a specific anti-codon) for a particular amino acid; and 'wobble' base-pairing, i.e. permitting non-standard base-pairing at the 3rd anti-codon position.
Source: RNAcentral